AUCUGAGACCCUCUAAGGUUCAUCCACAGCUCCUUUGCCUCUCCUCCGAAGCUCUGGAUGGUCACCUGACCACGGACUCUGGCAGCAGCCCACCCUCCCAAAAGGCCAGAUGUAGGAGGGUGUUGAAAAGAGGUACUGUCUGGUCAUUUGCCAUCCCCCACAUCUCACCAUCCUGCCUCCUAGCCUCAGCCUCAUUCUCUGUGGGCCUCUGAGGGCUCAGGUGGAUGGCAAGGCACCUUUAUUCAGACAGAAAGGACGGUGCAGCUGAGUCUAGCCCAAAAGAGAACCCAAAAUUCCAGGUUCCUAGCAGCAACUGGAAACCAUCGGGACAACUCAGAGGCAGAGAGUUGGCUCCACUCUGCUCAUAGGAAUCCUCAGCACCUUCCCUGACUUUGGGGUACCUGAUGGAGGCACAUGUACUCUCUCAGGUAGCAAGAAGCUUUUGUGUUCCAGGUGAGCCAGAAAGAGGAGCCACGGUGCCACAGAGUGCUCCGUGUCAGAGGAUGUGAGAAAGGAGAGGAAAGAACACAAAUAUCACAUCAACAUGGACAGAUGUCACACAAGGCCACUCUGUGGCCCUCACCUCUGUUAGACCACCAUAACCUCUAAGAGCACACUUCGGAACAAGGGAAGGCUUCCUGGAAACCAACGGGAGUGUAGAAGCUUCUUCCUUGCUAAUAGACGGAGUAGAAGUGGGAUGUUCAUGCACACGCAGCUGCUGACAUGGGCACCGGCACCCCAACCCGUUAGGCCCACCAAUAUUAGCACCCUGGAACAAGGAGCUAGCUCACCCAUGGUAACAACUGACCAGGGCUAGGGGACAA
Long non-coding RNA from Peromyscus eremicus (cactus mouse), 824 nucleotides. RefSeq lists it as uncharacterized. NCBI's taxonomy places the organism in Eukaryota, Metazoa, Chordata, Mammalia, Rodentia, Cricetidae. The transcript is spliced from 5 exons. The record is from RefSeq and is a predicted model, not a curated record.